UACAGAGGGGGCAAGCGUUAUUCGGAAUUAUUGGGCGUAAAGGGCGCGUAGGCGGCUUGGCAAGUGGAAGGUGAAAUCCCUCGGCUUAACCGAGGAACUGCCCUCCAAACUGCUUCGCUUGAGACCGGGAGAGGUGAGUGGAAUUCCCAGUGUAGCGGUGAAAUGCGUAGAUAUUGGGAGGAACACCAGUGGCGAAGGCGGCUCGCUGGACCGGUACUGACGCUGAUGCGCGAAAGCGUGGGGAGCAAACGGG
This 253-nucleotide ribosomal RNA is filed under the name uncultured bacterium. RNAcentral's name for it is "partial 16S ribosomal RNA". It matches the Rfam family "Bacterial small subunit ribosomal RNA", at positions 524 to 776 of the family's 1533-position model. The record is from RNAcentral.